ACUACGCUGGCGGCGUGCCUAACACAUGCAAGUCGAACGAUUCAUCUUUUGUAGCAAUAUAGAAGAUGGAGAGUGGCGCACGGGUGAGUAAUACAUAGAUGAUCUGCCUUUCAGACUGGGACAACUCAGGGAAACUUGAGCUAAUACCAGAUAAGACCACAUGAAGGGAUUUACGUGAUCAAAGGGGGAGCAAUCUCCUGCUGGAAGAUGAGUCUAUGUCCUAUCAGCUAGUUGGUGGGGUAACGGCCUACCAAGGCGAAGACGGGUAGCCGGCCCUGAGAGGGUGAACGGCCACACUGGAACUGAGACACGGUCCAGACUCCUACGGGAGGCAGCAGUGAGGAAUUUUCCGCAAUGGGCGCAAGCCUGACGGAGCGACGCCGCGUGAGGGAUGAAGGUUUUCGGAUCGUAAACCUCUUUUAUCAAGGAAAAAGAUUUUAAUGCUCAUACCAUUAAGAUUUGAUUGUACUUAAUGAAUAAGCCCCGGCUAACUACGUGCCAGCCGCCGC
This 509-nucleotide ribosomal RNA is filed under the name uncultured bacterium. RNAcentral describes it as "bacterial SSU rRNA". It matches the Rfam family "Bacterial small subunit ribosomal RNA", at positions 33 to 518 of the family's 1533-position model. The record is from RNAcentral.